CGUAACGGGAAUAGUUUUCAACGUCUGUUUCAUUCCCUGCUUCAGAGGACCUCUUUAAUCUUUGAUUUUGGUCCCUGUUUCUAAGAAAAGCAACUGAAAAGGUCGUAAUACCGCCCCUGAGAAAAAAGGAGCAGCGCUAAGUAAUCGAGAAAAUGCCUCCUCUUGAAACGGAUAUAGAGAUGGAAACAAGAUAUAAGAAGGAUUGAGAAUCAUAUAAUACAGGAGCUUAAACACCUAUGCGCGAUGAUAAAGAGGGUAAUAUUAGAGCGCUUGGAAAAUACCAGGAAGUUGAGAGAGUUAACAGAAGGGCGCACGCUGGAUUGGCCACAAAAUCGAAUUACUGAAGUAAGUGCAAAACGACAAAUUGUCACAGAAUACAGAGAAAAGGGGAAAAGAAAUUAAGAGGAGAAAAAGAGAGAUCUAGAGGGCCGGUCCAGGAGAUACAAUCUAUGCAUAAUAGGAAUACCUGAAACUGAGGACAGAGCAAGUGGAGCUGAAACAAUAAAGGAUCUACUUGAAAAAAUUUUCCAGAAUUGAAGAACGAACUAGAUCUACAAAUGGAAAAGGCUCACAGGAUACCUUUAAAGUUUAAUGAAAAGAAAGCAGCAUCUAGACAUACCCGGGUGACGUUUUUGAAUUUCAAAGACGAAACAUUUUACAAGCAUCCAGUCAGAGAAAGCAGGUUACUUACAAAGGGGCAAAAGUCAGGCCGACCUCAGAUUUUUCUCCUGCAAUUCUAAAUGCCAGAAGACAGUGGAACAAUAUCUAGAGUGUUAAGGGAAAAUAAUUCUGAGCCAAGAAUUAUGUACUCUGCCAAGUUAUCAUUUCUUUACAAAGGAAACUGGAAGACAUUCUUAGAUAUACAGGGGUUAGGAAAGUAUAUCAACCAAGAACUUUCCCUGAAAAUUUUGCUGAAGGAUUUACUGCAGCUAACAGAGAACCUGAAUUAAAAUAAGAACAGGGAGGCAAUUGUAUGAAAGAACUGAUGGGCCACUACUGAUUAGGACAUUUAUGGAGAACGUGGGUAGCACUGAAGCAGCAUUCUAGUUUCCAGUGCCAUCAACCUCAUACGUAUCUACCUGGUCUCUGAUCGAAGCUACCGUAACGUGUUCUUGAGGUCAACAUGUUUUGUGGAAGUCACUGUAUUUGCCCCUUUAUGUCAAUUACCUAUUAUAAACCGAGAGAAAUGGGA
Molecule: long non-coding RNA, 1192 nt
Filed under: Pan troglodytes (chimpanzee)
Lineage: Eukaryota; Metazoa; Chordata; Mammalia; Primates; Hominidae
Description: long non-coding RNA NONPTRT017145
Source: RNAcentral